Rhinichthys klamathensis goyatoka is the source of this 836-nucleotide long non-coding RNA. RefSeq lists it as uncharacterized. The transcript is spliced from 3 exons. The record is from RefSeq and is a predicted model, not a curated record. Lineage: Eukaryota; Metazoa; Chordata; Actinopteri; Cypriniformes; Leuciscidae.
GUGGAGGUCAUGAAUCGCUGACAGGGAAACCCGCAUUCAGAGAGCUUUAAAACCUGUCAUCACUGCAUCGAGAGGGUGGAGAGAAAAGGAAAAUACUGCUUUUCGGGGCUGGUGUCGAUACAGCAGAAGUGAAAGAGAAUGGCUAAUACACCUUACGUGAUGACGAAUCGAUUACCGUCCUUCCUAGUGUUUUUGAAGAGAGCCCAGAGCCAGUAGACCAUAAGGCUGAGGGUAGCGUGACCGGUGGUGGAUGUCCAUGAUGGAGUGGGCCGAAAUGCUCAUCCCACAGCGCAACCGAUCCUGACCUACGCGGCCUUCUCUGCAUUUAUUCCUCUCUCCCGUAACUCCUGCCAGAUUGAGGCCUCCGUUGGGUCAUUACCCACAAGCCUCUUUAUUAAACUCAUCUGUCAAACGGCACAUCAUAAAGCAAAAACUGAGCAGUGAAAAAGCAGACCCAGAUCUCUCCGUCUAUUAGGUAAGCAUCCCAAAUCAUUAUCUCCCCGUCUCUGCUUGACUUUCUCUGUAUGGGAAGUCAAUGUUAUUGACACACAGGCUUACAGGAGCUUUCUAAACCAUCUCUUCAUGGUGUAUUAUUCCCAGCUGGAGUCGAGAGGUGAACGUGUCUUUGCCUAAUGGGCUGUUUUUUUGGAGUUUUCGAAGCAUUUUUUUUUGGGUUUCUGAAUCUGAUAUGUAAUGCGGUAAGUGGGAGAUUUAAGAAGGGAGGCUGCAAAUGUUAUUAAACUGACAUUUACUUUUGCACCAUCAAUUAGCUUUGAUACUAGUAGCAGAAGUUAUGCUGCAACCAGUCGGGCUUGAAAGAUCAAUAGCAAACUGAG